RNAcentral lists this transfer RNA (133 nucleotides) under Imshaugia aleurites. RNAcentral's name for it is "tRNA-Lys". Lineage: Eukaryota; Fungi; Ascomycota; Lecanoromycetes; Lecanorales; Parmeliaceae. The record is from RNAcentral.
GCCCGGCUAGCUCAAUCGUAUGUGAUGUUCUGAACAAAGUUUCUAUUUACAUGCUGAUCCCACGUUAGGGUAGAGCGUAAGACUCUUAUAACGAACAAUCUUAAGGCUGCGAGUUCGAGCCUCGCGUUGGGCU